ACUGACUAUCUGUAACGGAUAUGUCAGAUCUCACAUCGAUUAUGAACGCAGGGAAAUCUGAUACUUGUUGCGAAUUACAUAAUCUCGAGUGCAUGCCAUUUAGUCUUUGAGCGCAACUUACGCCCUAAUCCUAUAGGCCAAGGGAUCGUCUUCCUAGGCUUCAUGCA
RNAcentral lists this ribosomal RNA (167 nucleotides) under Nitrophila mohavensis. Its description in RNAcentral is "5.8S ribosomal RNA". It matches the Rfam family "5.8S ribosomal RNA". Rfam says of the family: 5.8S ribosomal RNA (5.8S rRNA) is a component of the large subunit of the eukaryotic ribosome. It is transcribed by RNA polymerase I as part of the 45S precursor that also contains 18S and 28S rRNA. The record is from RNAcentral. Lineage: Eukaryota; Viridiplantae; Streptophyta; Magnoliopsida; Caryophyllales; Amaranthaceae.